Molecule: Y RNA, 114 nt
Filed under: Microcebus murinus (gray mouse lemur)
Lineage: Eukaryota; Metazoa; Chordata; Mammalia; Primates; Cheirogaleidae
Description: Y RNA (ENSMICG00000034115.2)
Rfam family: Y RNA
About the family: Y RNAs are components of the Ro ribonucleoprotein particle (Ro RNP), in association with Ro60 and La proteins. The Y RNAs and Ro60 and La proteins are well conserved, but the function of the Ro RNP is not known.
Source: Rfam by way of RNAcentral
GGCUGGUCAGAGGUAGUGUGUUAUCUCAAUUGAUUAUUUACAGUCAGUUACAGAUGGAACUCUUCAUUCUACUCUCUUUCCCCCCUUCUCACUAUUGCACCUGACUAGUCUAAA